Molecule: transfer RNA, 72 nt
Filed under: Urocitellus parryii (Arctic ground squirrel)
Lineage: Eukaryota; Metazoa; Chordata; Mammalia; Rodentia; Sciuridae
Also listed under: 1 other name
Description: Spermophilus parryii (Arctic ground squirrel) tRNA
Rfam family: tRNA
About the family: Transfer RNA (tRNA) molecules are approximately 80 nucleotides in length. Their secondary structure includes four short double-helical elements and three loops (D, anti-codon, and T loops).
Source: Rfam by way of RNAcentral
UGGAUUGUGGCUCAGUGGUAGAGCACUUCCCUAGCAUGCAUGAGGCCCUGGGUUCGAUUCUCAGCACCACAU